Molecule: ribosomal RNA, 430 nt
Filed under: uncultured bacterium
Lineage: Bacteria
Description: partial 16S ribosomal RNA
Rfam family: Bacterial small subunit ribosomal RNA
Source: RNAcentral
GAACGCUGGCGGCAUGCCUAACACAUGCAAGUCGAACGAGCCCUUCGGGUCUAGUGGCGCCCGGGUGCGUAACGCGUGGGAACCUGCCCUUAGGUUCGGAAUAACUCCCCGAAAGGGGUGCUAAUACCGGAUAAUGUCUUCGGACCAAAGAUUUAUCGCCUUUGGAUGGGCCCGCGUUGGAUUAGCUAGUUGGUAGGGUAAAAGCCUACCAAGGCGACGAUCCAUAGCUGGUCUGAGAGGAUGAUCAGCCACACUGGGACUGAGACACGGCCCAGACUCCUACGGGAGGCAGCAGUGGGGAAUAUUGGACAAUGGGCGAAAGCCUGAUCCAGCAAUGCCGCGUGAGUGAUGAAGGCCUUAGGGUUGUAAAGCUCUUUUACCCGGGAUGAUAAUGACAGUACCGGGAGAAUAAGCUCCGGCUAACUCCGUG